ACAACAUUCAGAUCGUCGGUCGACUGACCAAUAUCACCCGCUCGGUGGAAGAUCGUUCUUCUGUGGU
This 67-nucleotide microRNA precursor is filed under the name Bombyx mori (domestic silkworm). Its description in RNAcentral is "mir-2774 microRNA precursor family". It matches the Rfam family "mir-2774 microRNA precursor family". The record is from Rfam by way of RNAcentral. Lineage: Eukaryota; Metazoa; Arthropoda; Insecta; Lepidoptera; Bombycidae.